CAAUAGCGUAUAUUAAAGUUGUUGCGGUUAAAAGCUCGUAGUUGGAUUUCUGCCGAGGACGACCGGUCCGCCCUCUGGGUGAGUAUCUGGCUCGGCCUGGGCAUCUUCUUGGAGAACGUAUCUGCACUUGACUGUGUGGUGCGGUAUCCAGGACUUUUACUUUGAGGAAAUUAGAGUGUUUCAAGCAGGCAUACGCCUUGAAUACAUUAGCAUGGAAUAAUAAGAUAGGACCUCGGUUCUAUUUUGUUGGUUUCUAGAGCUGAGGUAAUGAUUAAUAGGGAUAGUUGGGGGCGAUUAGUACUUAACUAGUCAGAGGUGGAAAUUACUCCGACUUUGUUUAAAGAACUAACUUAAUUGCGAAAGACAUUUGUCCAAGGAAGUGUUUUCUAUUAAUCAAGAACGAAAGUUAAGGGGAGUCAAAGAACGAUUAGAUACCGU
Molecule: ribosomal RNA, 438 nt
Filed under: uncultured eukaryote
Lineage: Eukaryota
Description: bacterial SSU rRNA
Rfam family: Eukaryotic small subunit ribosomal RNA
Source: RNAcentral